GACGAACGCUGGCGGCGUGCUUAACACAUGCAAGUCGAACGGAAAGGCCCUGCUUUUGUGGUGUGCUCGAGUGGCGAACGGGUGAGUAACACGUGAGUAACCUGCCCUUGACUUUGGGAUAACUUCAGGAAACUGGGGCUAAUACCGGAUAGGAGCUCCUGCUCCAUGGUGGGGGUUGGAAAGUUUCGGCGGUUGGGGAUGGACUCGCGGCUUAUCAGCUUGUUGGUGGGGUAGUGGCUUACCAAGGCUUUGACGGGUAGCCGGCCUGAGAGGGUGACCGGCCACAAUGGGACUGAGAUACGGCCCAGACUCCUACGGGAGGCAGCAGUGGGGGAUAUUGCACAAUGAGCGGAAGCCUGAUGCAGCAACGCCGCGUGCGGGAUGACGGCCUUCGGGUUGUAAACCGCUUUCGCCUGUGACGAAGCGUGAGUGACGGUAAUGGGUAAAGAAGCACCGGCUAACUACGUG
Molecule: ribosomal RNA, 468 nt
Filed under: uncultured bacterium
Lineage: Bacteria
Description: partial 16S ribosomal RNA
Rfam family: Bacterial small subunit ribosomal RNA
Source: RNAcentral